CGAACGGCAGCGGGGGUAGCUUGCUACCUGCCGGCGAGUGGCGAACGGGUGAGUAAUACAUCGGAACGUGCCCUGUAGUGGGGGAUAACUAGUCGAAAGACUAGCUAAUACCGCAUACGACCUGAGGGUGAAAGUGGGGGACCGCAAGGCCUCAUGCUAUAGGAGCGGCCGAUGUCUGAUUAGCUAGUUGGUGGGGUAAAGGCCCACCAAGGCGACGAUCAGUAGCUGGUCUGAGAGGACGAUCAGCCACACUGGGACUGAGACACGGCCCAGACUCCUACGGGAGGCAGCAGUGGGGAAUUUUGGACAAUGGGGGCAACCCUGAUCCAGCAAUGCCGCGUGUGUGAAGAAGGCCUUCGGGUUGUAAAGCACUUUUGUCCGGAAAGAAAUCGCACUGGUUAAUACCUGGUGUGGAUGACGGUACCGGAAGAAUAAGGACCGGCUAACUACGUGCCAGCAGCCGCGGUAAUACGUAGGGUCCAAGCGUUAAUCGGAAUUACUGGGCGUAAAGCGUGCGCAGGCGGUUGUGCAAGACCGAUGUGAAAUCCCCGGGCUUAACCUGGGAAUUGCAUUGGUGACUGCACGGCUAGAGUGUGUCAGAGGGAGGUAGAAUUCCACGUGUAGCAGUGAAAUGCGUAGAGAUGUGGAGGAAUACCGAUGGCGAAGGCAGCCUCCUGGGAUAACACUGACGCUCAUGCACGAAAGCGUGGGGAGCAAACAGGAUUAGAUACCCUGGUA
RNAcentral lists this ribosomal RNA (738 nucleotides) under Ralstonia solanacearum. Its description in RNAcentral is "bacterial SSU rRNA". It matches the Rfam family "Bacterial small subunit ribosomal RNA", at positions 63 to 792 of the family's 1533-position model. The record is from RNAcentral. Lineage: Bacteria; Pseudomonadati; Pseudomonadota; Betaproteobacteria; Burkholderiales; Burkholderiaceae.